Molecule: ribosomal RNA, 300 nt
Filed under: uncultured Methanosarcina sp.
Lineage: Archaea; Methanobacteriati; Methanobacteriota; Methanomicrobia; Methanosarcinales; Methanosarcinaceae
Description: bacterial SSU rRNA
Rfam family: Bacterial small subunit ribosomal RNA
Source: RNAcentral
GCAAUCGACGGGCCAGGAGCUGCGGUAAUAGUGAGGGUUCGGGCGUUGUCCGGAAUUAGUGGGGGUAAAGGGCUCGUAGGGGGUUGGUCACGUCGGGAGUGAAAACUCGGGGCGCAACCCCGAGCCUGCUUCCGAUACGGGCAGACUAGAGGUAUGCAGGGGAGAACGGAAUUCCUGGUGUAGCGGUGAAAUGCGCAGAUAUCAGGAGGAACACCGGUGGCGAAGGCGGUUCUCUGGGCAUUACCUGACGCUGAGGAGCGAAAGUGUGGGGAGCGAACAGGAUUAGAUACCCUUGUAGUC